UGGAUGAAACAGGGGUGCCGUACGGAUGGGCCGUGCGAGCUGAGAGAGUCCCUUCGAACCCGAUCCGGUUAGUACCGGCGUGGGAAGUUUCUAGCAAGACCAA
RNAcentral lists this non-coding RNA (103 nucleotides) under Cupriavidus oxalaticus. RNAcentral describes it as "TPP". It matches the Rfam family "TPP riboswitch aptamer (THI element)". From Rfam's summary of the family: Vitamin B(1) in its active form thiamin pyrophosphate (TPP) is an essential coenzyme that is synthesised by coupling of pyrimidine and thiazole moieties in bacteria. The record is from RNAcentral. Lineage: Bacteria; Pseudomonadati; Pseudomonadota; Betaproteobacteria; Burkholderiales; Burkholderiaceae. RNAcentral also lists the same sequence under 1 other name.